GAGGAAUAUUGGACAAUGGAGGCAACUCUGAUCCAGCCAUGCCGCGUGCAGGAAGAAUGCCCUAUGGGUUGUAAACUGCUUUUAUUUAGGAAGAAACCCCCCAACGUGUUGGGGGCUGACGGUACUAAACGAAUAAGGACCGGCUAACUCCGUGCCAGCAGCCGCGGUAAUACGGAGGGUCCAAGCGUUAUCCGGAAUCAUUGGGUUUAAAGGGUCCGCAGGCGGACUAUUAAGUCAGUGGUGAAAUCUCUUGGCUUAACCAAGAAAUUGCCAGUGAAACUACUAGUCUUGAAUUCGGUCGAAGUGGGCGGAAUGUGUCAUGUAGCGGUGAAAUGCAUAGAUAUGACACAGAACACCGAUAGCGAAGGCAGCUCACUAGGCCUGAAUUGACGCUCAGGGACGAAAGCGUGGGGAGCGAAC
This 420-nucleotide ribosomal RNA is filed under the name uncultured bacterium. Its description in RNAcentral is "bacterial SSU rRNA". It matches the Rfam family "Bacterial small subunit ribosomal RNA", at positions 356 to 773 of the family's 1533-position model. The record is from RNAcentral.